This is a non-coding RNA of Triticum aestivum (bread wheat), 135 nucleotides long. The record is from Rfam. NCBI's taxonomy places the organism in Eukaryota, Viridiplantae, Streptophyta, Magnoliopsida, Poales, Poaceae.
UUUGUACUCCCUCCAUCCCAAAAUUCUUGUCUUAAAUUUGUCUAAAUACGGAUGUAUCUAGUUACAUUUUACUCUUAGAUACAUCUGCAUCUAAAAAAAUGUAAGACAAGAAUUUUGGGACGGAGGGAAUACUAC